RNAcentral lists this non-coding RNA (215 nucleotides) under Chitinophaga sp. CF418. Lineage: Bacteria; Pseudomonadati; Bacteroidota; Chitinophagia; Chitinophagales; Chitinophagaceae. The record is from RNAcentral.
CCAAUCCUGUCCGGCAAGGUCUAGUUAAUCAUCGGACGCAAGUCUUGCGUAGUUACCAGAAAUGUUGGCACGAAGCAUAGACAGCGACUGCUGAAGGUAUGCCAUUGAGCCUCGAAACUGUCCUGGACGUUGAAGCUUUAGUUGUUCAAAAGCUAAAGUAACAUCAAACCCGCAUUACUGAAGAGUGGGGACGAUUCGACCGGGGGCUAAGAACA